ACGUAUGGUGCAAGCGUUAUCCGGAUUUACUGGGUGUAAAGGGAGCGCAGGCGGUGCGGCAAGUCUGAUGUGAAAGCCCGGGGCUCAACCCCGGUACUGCAUUGGAAACUGUCGUACUAGAGUGUCGGAGGGGUAAGCGGAAUUCCUAGUGUAGCGGUGAAAUGCGUAGAUAUUAGGAGGAACACCAGUGGCGAAGGCGGCUUACUGGACGAUAACUGACGCUGAGGCUCGAAAGUGUGGGGAGCAAACAG
RNAcentral lists this ribosomal RNA (251 nucleotides) under uncultured bacterium. Its description in RNAcentral is "partial 16S ribosomal RNA". It matches the Rfam family "Bacterial small subunit ribosomal RNA", at positions 525 to 775 of the family's 1533-position model. The record is from RNAcentral.